GAACGGUGAAGCAGAGCUUGCUCUGUGGAUCAGUGGCGAACGGGUGAGUAACACGUGAGCAAUCUGCCCCUGACUCUGGGAUAAGCGCUGGAAACGGCGUCUAAUACCGGAUACGAGCUGCGAAGGCAUCUUCAGCAGCUGGAAAGAAUUUCGGUCAGGGAUGAGCUCAGCGGCCUAUCAGCUUGUUGGUGAGGUAACGGCUCACCAAGGCGUCGACGGGUAGCCGGCCUGAGAGGGUGACCGGCCACACUGGGACUGAGUACACGGCCCAGACUCCUACGGGAGGCAGCAGCUGGGGAAUAUUGCACAAUGGGCGAAAGCCUGAUGCAGCAACGCCGCGUGAGGGACGACGGCCUUCGGGUUGUAAACCUCUUUUAGCAGGAAAGAAGCGAAAGUGACGGUACCUGCAGAAAAAGCGCCGGCUAACUACGUGCCAGCAGCCGCGGUAAUUCGACGUAGGGCGCAAGCGUUAUCUCGGAAUUAUUGGGCGUAAAGUAGCAUCGUAGGCAGGUCUGUCGCCGUCUGCUGUGAAAACCCGAGGCUCAACCUCGGGCCUGCAGUGGGUACGGGCAGACUAGAGUGCGCUGUAGGGGAGAUUGGAAUUACGCUGGUGUAGCUGACUGGGAAUGCGCAAGAUAUCAAGGAGGAACACCGAUGGCGAAGGCAGAUCUCUGGGCCGUAACUGACGCUGAGGAGCGAAAGGGACUGGGUGGAGCAAACAGGCUUUAGAUACCCUGGUAGUCCACCCCCGUAAACGUUGGGAACCUAGGUUGUGGGGGUUCAUUUCUCCACGGAUUUCGUUACGCAGCUUAAAGUCCAUUAAAAUUUCCCUGCUGGUGGACGAUAUCUGGUCCAGGCAAUGGGCAACUCUUUGGACGACUAGAAACAGGUGGUGCAAUGGUUGUUGACAGCUCGUGUCGUGAAAUGAUGGGAUAAGUGCGCGCAUUAGAGCGCUAACCCUCGUUGCUAAUGUUGCCAGCAACGUAAUGGUGGCUACUCAUGGGAUACUGCCGGGGUCAACUCGGAGGAAGGUGGGGAUGACGUCAAAUCAUCAUGCCCCUUAUGUCUUGGGCUUCACAGCAUGCUACAAUGGCCUGCGUACAAAGGGCUAGCAAUACCGCGAGGUGGAGCGAAUCCCAAAAAGCCGGUCCCAGUUCGGAUUGAGGUCUGCAACUCGACCUCAUGAAGUCGGAGUCGCUAGUAAUCGCAGAUCAGCAACGCUGCGGUGAAUACGUUCCCGGGUCUUGUACACACCGCCCGUCAAGUCAUGAAAGUCGGUAACACCUGAAGGCGGUGGCCCAACCCUUG
RNAcentral lists this ribosomal RNA (1308 nucleotides) under Microbacterium sp. AB005. RNAcentral's name for it is "partial 16S ribosomal RNA". It matches the Rfam family "Bacterial small subunit ribosomal RNA". The record is from RNAcentral. Lineage: Bacteria; Bacillati; Actinomycetota; Actinomycetes; Micrococcales; Microbacteriaceae.